RNAcentral lists this ribosomal RNA (258 nucleotides) under uncultured bacterium. RNAcentral describes it as "partial 16S ribosomal RNA". It matches the Rfam family "Bacterial small subunit ribosomal RNA", at positions 524 to 776 of the family's 1533-position model. The record is from RNAcentral.
UACGUAGGGUGCAAGCGUUGUCCGGAAUUAUUGGGCGUAAAGAGCUCGUAGGCGGUCUGUCGCGUCUGCUGUGAAAACUCGGGGCUUAACCCCGGGUCUGCAUUCGAUACGGGUCUGCUGGGGUCCGGCAGGGGAGACUGGAAUUCCUGGUGUAGCGGUGAAAUGCGCAGAUAUCAGGAGGAACACCGGUGGGCGAAGGCGGGGUCUCUGGGCCGGUACCGACGCUGGAGGAGCGAAAGCGUUCGGGGAGCGAACAGG